GAUGAACGCUAGCUACAGGCUUAACACAUGCAAGUCGAGGGGAAACGAUAUUGGAAGCUUGCUUCUGAUAGGCGUCGACCGGCGCACGGGUGAGUAACGCGUAUCCAACCUGCCCAUCACUUGGGGAUAACCUUGCGAAAGUAAGACUAAUACCCAAUGACGUCUCUAGAAGACAUCUGAAAGAGAUUAAAGAUUUAUCGGUGAUGGAUGGGGAUGCGUCUGAUUAGCUUGUUGGCGGGGUAACGGCCCACCAAGGCGACGAUCAGUAGGGGUUCUGAGAGGAAGGUCCCCCACAUUGGAACUGAGACACGGUCCAAACUCCUACGGGAGGCAGCAGUGAGGAAUAUUGGUCAAUGGACGAGAGUCUGAACCAGCCAAGUAGCGUGCAGGAUGACGGCCCUAUGGGUUGUAAACUGCUUUUAUAAGGGAAUAAAGUGAGUCUCGUGAGACUUUUUGCAUGUACCUUAUGAAUAAGGACCGGCUAAUUCCGUGCCAGCAG
RNAcentral lists this ribosomal RNA (499 nucleotides) under uncultured bacterium. Its description in RNAcentral is "bacterial SSU rRNA". It matches the Rfam family "Bacterial small subunit ribosomal RNA", at positions 28 to 514 of the family's 1533-position model. The record is from RNAcentral.